RNAcentral lists this ribosomal RNA (442 nucleotides) under uncultured bacterium. RNAcentral describes it as "partial 16S ribosomal RNA". It matches the Rfam family "Bacterial small subunit ribosomal RNA", at positions 338 to 795 of the family's 1533-position model. The record is from RNAcentral.
CCUACGGGGGGCAGCAGUGGGGAAUAUUGGGCAAUGGGCGCAAGCCUGACCCAGCAACGCCGCGUGAAGGAAGAAGGCUUUCGGGUUGUAAACUUCUUUUGUCAGGGAAGAGUAGAAGACGGUACCUGACGAAUAAGCCACGGCUAACUACGUGCCAGCAGCCGCGGUAAUACGUAGGUGGCAGGCGUUGUCCGGAUUUACUGGGUGUAAAGGGCGUGUAGCCGGGUUGACAAGUCAGAUGUGAAAUCCUGCGGCUUAACCGCAGAACUGCAUUUGAAACUGUUGAUCUUGAGUACUGGAGAGGCAGACGGAAUUCCGAGUGUAGCGGUGAAAUGCGUAGAUAUUAUGAGGAACACCAGUGGCGAAGGCGGUCUGCUGGACAGCAACUGACGGUGAGGCGCGAAAGCGUGGGGAGCAAACAGGAUUAGAUACCCGAGUAGUC